This 23-nucleotide non-coding RNA is filed under the name Arabidopsis thaliana (thale cress). Lineage: Eukaryota; Viridiplantae; Streptophyta; Magnoliopsida; Brassicales; Brassicaceae. The record is from RNAcentral.
AGGGAACGGGGAGUCUGGUGGGU